UAUCAAUAAGCUGGUAGCAAACGGGUCCCUUGCGGUUGCUCGAGUUGGAACUUGAAGAUCCUUUUCUGGUACUGGCCCUUGCUCUAUGUUCCUUGGAACAGGACGUCAUAACAGGGUGAGAAUCCCGUCUGAUGGGGUGUCCAGUGCUUUGUAGAUUUCUAUCGAAGAGUCGAGUUGUUUGGGAAUGCAGCUCUAACUGGGUGGCAAAUUCCAUCUAAAGCUAAAUCCUGGCGAGAGACCGAUAGCGAACAAGUACAGUGAUGGAAAGAUGAAAAGAACUUUGAAAAGAGAGUGAAAAAGUACGUGAAAUUGUUGAAAGGGAAGGGUAUUGGAUCAGACUUGGUGUUUUGUGAUUAUCUUCCCUUCUUGGGUUGUGCACUCNCAUUUCACUGGGCCAGCAUCGGUUCCGAUGGCAAGAUAAUGGCUUGGGAACGUGGCACUCUUCGGAGUGCGUUAUAUCCCUUGUUGAUGUUGCCUAUCUGGACCGAGGACUGCGGCUUCUGCCUAGGAUGCUGGCGUAAUGAUUCCAUACC
This 533-nucleotide ribosomal RNA is filed under the name Pichia sp. Chih1rhP305. RNAcentral's name for it is "eukaryotic LSU rRNA". It matches the Rfam family "Eukaryotic large subunit ribosomal RNA", at positions 98 to 646 of the family's 3401-position model. Lineage: Eukaryota; Fungi; Ascomycota; Pichiomycetes; Pichiales; Pichiaceae. The record is from RNAcentral.